RNAcentral lists this ribosomal RNA (232 nucleotides) under uncultured bacterium. RNAcentral's name for it is "partial 16S ribosomal RNA". It matches the Rfam family "Bacterial small subunit ribosomal RNA", at positions 103 to 334 of the family's 1533-position model. The record is from RNAcentral.
CGGGUGAGUAACGCGUGGGUAACCUGCCUCAUACAGGGGGAUAACGGUUAGAAAUGACUGCUAAUACCGCAUAAGCGCACAGUACCGCAUGGUACGGUGUGAAAAACUACCGGUGGUAUGAGAUGGACCCGCGUCUGAUUAGCUAGUUGGUGAGGUAACGGCCCACCAAGGCGACGAUCAGUAGCCGACCUGAGAGGGUGACCGGCCACAUUGGGACUGAGACACGGCCCAG